CACUACACCAAGGCGCCUUCUUCAGCACUACACCAAGGUGCCUUCUUCAGCACUAAACCAAGGUGACUUCUUCAGCACUAAACCAAGGUGCCUUCUUCAGCACUAAACCAAGGUGCCUUCUUCAGCACCACACCAAGGUGCCUUCUUCAGCACCACACCAAGGUGCCUUCUUCAGCACCACACCAAGGUGCCUUCUUCAGCACCACACCAAGGUGCCUUCUUCAGCACCACACCAAGGUGCCUUCUUCAGCACCACACCAAGGUGCCUUCUUCAGCACCACACCAAGGUGCCUUCUUCAGCACCACACCAAGGUGCCUUCUUCAGCACCACACCAAGGUGCCUUCUUCAGCACCACACCAAGGUGCCUUCUUCAGCACCACACCAAGGUGCCUUCUUCAGCACCACACCAAGGUGACUUCUUCAGCACUACACCAAGGUGCCUUCUUCAGCACCACACCAAGGUGCCUUCUUCAGCACCACACCAAGGCGCCUUCUUCAGCACCACACCAAGGUGCCUUCUUCAGCACUACACCAAGGUGACUUCUUCAGCACUACACCAAGGCGCCUUCUUCAGCACUACAGCCAAGGUGACUUCUUCAGCACUACACCAAGGUGCCUUCUUCAGCACUACACCAAGGCGCCUUCUUCAGCAUUAAACCAAGGUGACUUCAGCACUAUACCAAGGUGCCUUCUUCAGCACUAUACCAAGGCGCCUUCUUCAGCACUACAGCCAAGGCGCCUUCUUCAGCACUAAACCAAGGUGCCUUCUUCAGCAUUACACCAAGGCGCCUUCUUCAGCACCAGCAGAACAACUUUUUUUUGUUCUUAGAUGGUCUCACCCACUCCCGUAAGAGGAAAAAAUUACCCCACUAAAUAUUCAAAAGCCUUAUAAUGAUGAAGGCCAAUGGCUGCACCAAGUAACAUA
Long non-coding RNA from Homarus americanus (American lobster), 926 nucleotides. RefSeq lists it as uncharacterized. The transcript has 3 exons. Lineage: Eukaryota; Metazoa; Arthropoda; Malacostraca; Decapoda; Nephropidae. The record is from RefSeq and is a predicted model, not a curated record.